Long non-coding RNA from Gallus gallus (chicken), 6704 nucleotides. RefSeq lists it as uncharacterized. The record is from RefSeq and is a predicted model, not a curated record. Lineage: Eukaryota; Metazoa; Chordata; Aves; Galliformes; Phasianidae. The transcript is spliced from 3 exons.
GCCUCGCGGGGGUUGGGCCGCGGGGACCCGGCGGCGGUUCCAGCAUCCGUGGGUCUGAGGGUCUGUGAGUCUGUCUGCUCCUGGGCCCGGGGGUACCUCCGCAGGGCCCACCCGUGGCUGUGAUGCGUGAUAGCCUGCCUGGUACGUGGUAGUGGUACUUCAGAGGUGGUCUGGGGACCUAUUGACCCAUAGCCCAGAUGAGUAGGAGCCAGGAGGACAUACGGACCCAUAACCCAGGUGUAUAGAAACCAGAAGGACUACAGAGCCAUCGUUCACAUGAGUAGGACCCAGAAGGUCCUACAGACUCCUAAUGCAGAUAAGGAGGAGCCAAAAAGACCUACAGACCCAUAACCUGGAUGUAUAGAAACCAGAAGGACCUACGGACCCAUAACCCAGACGAGUAGGAGCCAGGGGGACAUACGGACCCAUAACCCAGACGAGUAGGAGCCAGGAGGACAAGAGAAAUGGGAAUGUGGCCAUCAGCACACACAGCUGCCUCUUGCAGGACUCUGCACGCUCUUGUGAUGGGCAGUGGGGCACGGAGCCUGGGGAGCUGGGCAGUGCGAGCAAGCUGUGAGCUGUGGUGGGUUCAGCCUGCUGCAAGAGAAGUUCCUCAGGCCUCUGGGAGCUGAGCUGCAGCGCAUCUGGGGAAGCCUCACACCUACUCGCCCUCUCUCACGCUGCCUGUCCCUGUCCACGGGCUCCAGCCUGCAGGCAGCGCUGCUUCGGGGCUCCCUGGUUCCCAGCGCUUGCGUUGCUUUGGCAGGAAGUGACCAGCUGUUGUGCAGAAAGCUGGCCUCCAGCCAGAGCCCGAGUUCAAACACAGCCCAGCAAAUGGCCUUUCCCCCUUCCUCCGUGCUGAAAGCCUUGCUCACAGCCGUAAUUCUAUUUAUAAUACCCAGGAAAAGCAAGCUGAGACUUUCCCACAGUGCCUGCCUUGCAGGCGAUUGUUGUUCGGGAAGCUGGAAUGUACACGAUAUUAUUUUUGAAUCCCCCGGGAAGGAUUUCAUUGCGCGUCCCUUCGUGUCCCCAUCUGUGCCGAGGAACGUUUUGCUGAGCGCGAGGCCUUUGCUGCUGCUUGCAGCUCUGAGAAGCUUUGCUGAGAUGCUUUGGGUGUCUCUGUGCCUGCAGCACACAUGUGUCCGCCAUCCCCAGUGCUUCUGGGUAUUUUGCAGGGUGCCCAGAUGUGCUGCUAGGAUGGUGGUUCCACCCCUGCCUGCCCGUUCCCAAGGCACUUCUCACUGCCAGUGGGGUCUGUGGCACGUGUGACUCUUCCAUUUGCCAGCACUGCAAAGCAGUGCGCUGCUGUUGUUCUUAGGGCAUUUCUCUGCCCCUUUUUGCUGUCCUUGCUGUACAGCAGCGAGGCUUUGCUGGGCGCUGUCAUCCUGCUGCCUAGAGUGACAGUUCACUAGGCAAGCAGCUUCCCAGCUCCCAAAGCUCUGUGCGUUCUUUUAGCAUGCCAUCCCACGUGGCAGUCCAGCAGAGUGUGUUCCUUUCCCGGCCUGGGAACACUUCUUGUGCUGCAACCACCGUGAGGUAGGGCUGGCACCUCAGAGCUGCUUUGCUGUUUGUUGUGCCAGUUUUAGGAUUCGUUAUCCCAAAUUCCAGGUGAUGAUGUCUGCAGGCCUCGACGUUUAAGGGCCUGGCAGCCUCACAGUGCUGCCUGGGGUGGAAGAUGCCAGGUGGAGAAAGGCGAGGAGGAGAUGACAGGAGGACAACUGGUUGGUCACAGCCUUCCUGAACAUGGGACUGACAGCAGAGAUGCUACCCAGGUGUUCAGGCCUGCAGAGGACAGCAGGGUUCCCGUGGGAAGGGAUCGUCUCUUGAACGUUUGCUCUGCAUUCUUCCUUGGCAUCAGUCCUGGCCAUGAGUUUGUGUGAGAAACGGCCAUAAGUGCGUUCACCCUUCUGGCUGGCUCCGUGGCAAUGCAGUCACCAGCUCCCCGCCGACCUCGCAGCCAUGCAGCCUCGCAGAUAAGGAAACCCGUGCUGCUGCAGAGCUGGUUGUACUAGGGAAGCUGUAGCCUUUCCCUCUGCCUGCUCCCACAGUGAGUACCGCGUGCUUUUCCCUUGGCUGCGCCCUCACCAUCGCAACCAGAACCUCAGAGCCCUCAGUGCCACAUAGCUGUGUCGGAGGGGUGCUGUCUCAUGGAAAACAUUUAGGAUCAGAGCUUUCAAAUUAAAGAUAGAAAAAGGUCGGUAGCUUUCCAAGUAAUUAAUACCCUGUAGUUAUUUAAAACUGUCUUUAGAAAUGUGCCGUUCUGAACUUUCUAGGGCUGAGAACGUAUCUGGGAAUACAGUUAUGUCUUCAGCUGCAGCCUUUUCACCCUGCUUUUGUGAUUGCUCUUUUUCUGUUAGGAUCUUGUUUUGCCAGGGGGAAAAAAAAAUACAAAACGGAACGCUGCCAAGAAAUUUUGUUUUCAUACCUUGGUCCUCCCAGGCUGCCAGUUUGGCCUUCCUGUGCUGACACGUAUUGCAUUACCGGUGCUGCAGCACCAGCAGCGUUCCUGACACCUGGUUUUGGCUUCCCAUGUUUCUGGGUGAGCCGUGGAUGUGCUCAGGGAAGCCGGUCGGCCUGCAGGGCUGUGAGGCUGGAAUCAUGUCUCAGAGUUCUCGUGUGAUUGUCCACCUCGGGGAUGGGUUUUAAUGGCUGAAGCAAGCCAUGCUGAUACAGUUUUCUGCUGUUCCUUCGUAUUUCCAUCGCAGUGAGUUGAUUCCCUGGCAGACCUGCCUGGAGCUGGGGGUCAGAGCUGAGGCACGGUGCUGCCAUCCAUGUCCCUCUGUUUUUUAAUGAGCUCUGUCAGAAUUUGUUACUUAGCCAUUAAGUGGUGUCAGCGCAGAGUUCAUGCAUGAGCUAAGUUGAAAAUCUGCUAGGUGUGAAUUAGUGAUGAGAGAAAAGCAGGUCAAGGAACAUGUUGUUUCAGAGCACGCUGAGCUUCAAGCUUAGCAGAGGCGAUACUGGUGCAUCCAAGGUCUUGAGCAGGCAGAAAUAAGAACAUAGGCAGGAGAUGAGAGCAGGUGAUAAGACGUGGUAGCCCAUCCAUCGGUCCGUUGUGGUUCUGCAUGUCACCAACGAGCAGCGUGCUCUGAAGAUGUUCUGGGCCAGUCCCCAAGCCUUUGCAGACAUCAGAGGGCUCUGCUUGCAUCAGUGAGAUGGUCAUGGGUUCAGGUGCUGCUGCGAGAGACAUGUGGAUCCCCAGCAAUCCUGCACAGUGUCAGGAUGGGUUGCCCUGCAAAGGGAGGCAGGGUUUUACCUCAAGUACUGGAAAAAGACACUUCCUCCGCCUGUGAUCACUUGGCAUAGCACCACCUGGAAAUGAGGUGUGAUGGAAAAAAUAAGCCACGAAGAACAAAGCCUACAGCAAAGGCAGGAAUGUGUAAGUGAGAGGUUCGGGCAUGUGGCUCCCAGCUUGUGGCUGCGUCAGCUCGCUUCCCUUGGUCAAAAUAAAGGUGUCUGAGUUUCUCUGCCUCUGUUUGCUGUGAUGGGAGGAUGCUCACUGCUUCUUUUCUGCGUCAUCUUGGCCUCCCUGUUCCUCUGUGCCCGGAGCCCUUUUCUUUGGCUGCUCAUGGUGUCGGAUGCUCGUGGUUCGUGCUGUAGGAUACAGCCAAGCCCUCUUGGUGCAGGCUCUGGUGGAUGGCACCGAGUGCCAAAAACGAGCCCUGGGGAAACAUCUGAGGACAAAUUGCUAAUGAAGAGAGAGGAGUGCUUUUCUGGAGGGACCCGCCUGGGGAAAGGAAGGCCUUUGGGGAGCUAAAUAUUGUGUUUAAAACAUAAAGGCAGGAACAUGCUUCCCAGCGUGCAGACAAGUGGCAUGCAAGCUGCCUUGUUUUGUGGCACACCGGUAGGUGCAAAGGAAAUGCUGUGGCUGAUAGAAAGCAAAAGGGCUGGUGGAUGUGACAUGGAAAGCAGACGGGCUGUGAGGAGGUGUCUUGCUCUGACACACUGCACAUCUGAAUCCAGCUAGGUCUUCGUAUUGAUUUUUGUAAAAGCCCUUCCAAUUACUUUUGCAAUGAGCUCAUUCCUUCUGGCACAUCUCCUCUCCCUUGUUCAUUUAACACAGGCUUUGUCGCACCUCUCUUCAGCCCUCUGCGUGUGAGCUGGGAGCAAGCAGCUCUGUUGUUGUCCUCAGGGAAAACCAGGCACCUUUGGGGCAUCUCGUCUUGGCUGCUUUUCAGCGCUGCGUGACAGUGGGUUGAAUGGAGCCGGAGGUGUUUCUAAUAGAGCUGUCUGAAGUCAGCCAAAAUACAGCUGGCGUGCUCUGCACCGGCACAGCAAGGCUCGCUCAGAAGCUGCCUUUCCUUUUGUUUCGGUGUUUGGGUUCCAGGCAUGUUGUGAAGUGAUGCUGGAGGCUUUGCCUUGGCUGUUGGCUGGGCAGCCUGGUGGUCCAGGAGCGCAGAUUUGCUCCGGGCUGCAAAGUGCCUGCUUGCUGAAGCUUCUGGAAACAAAGAGCUGAGGAGCUCACAGACCUGUCCAGGCAAAACACCUCCUCUGUUUGCUCUAAUAAUACUGUUUUUCUCAAUUCUACACCCCCAAAACAAUGUGUCUGGGCCUGUUUUAAUCCACUGGAUCACUCGGAGGCUACAGCUGAGGUCUGGUAUCCGGAUGUUUCCCAAACCUGAUCCUGCCCAUGUCCCAUCCUGCGGGCUGCUGGAAGAGGAAUUUGCAGGCUCAGUGAAACUGCUCAGGUCUCCCCGCUGAGGCUGACUAUGUGUUCACCCUCCAGACUGCUUGGGAACGAAGGCAAAGAGAAGAACAUUGUCCCGCAAAGCCACGUGCCUCGCUUGCAGUCUGGGAGCUGAGGCACAGCUUCUGACUUUGCUCUGCAGCCCCUGUGUCCCAACCACAACCCAGGACACUGAUCAACCUGAAGCUGCUGGUUUUCUUGUGAUGGGCUCCUGUAUGCGUUCCAAAUACUGUUGAGGCUGCUCUGUGGGUAUUUUUAGUGUGCAUCAGGUGCCAACGAGGAAAACAAAAGCCUCUUCUUCAUGAGCCCACGUCUGCAGUUAUUUCCAGUGCCUGUGUCCUCGUGUGCAUCCUGCAGCCCUUGGGGCUCCGACAGCAGGCACUGAGAAAAACCAAGCUUGGGAAAAAUCUAAAUACUUCCCAAGGAAGAACUUCAGGAAAUGCCCAUCAAACAGCUGAGCAGGGGAUUCCUGAGCAGGUUUCCUGUGCUUCUUUGAAAUGCUGAUAAAAAGCUUCGUGAGAUACCUGCACAGAGGAAUUUCCCAAACAGGGCACUGAAAGCUUCACACCACAAUGUAUGCGUGAUACUGGAGCUCCCACACGUGCUGGGUGUUUGGAUAGCGUUCUUAGACCUGCUGAAACCUGCGUAAUGUAGUAAUUAUGGGCUGCUAGCUGUUGAAAGGACUCGUGAAGCUACUCCAAGGGGCAGCUGUCACCUGGGUCCUUCGGAUCCCAGCUCAUGUUUGCCUCUGCACGUCCUCAGCAUGCAAACAGGGCUGAGGGAAAGCACCCUGCCUCCUCCUGUCCCUGGGUGCAGGAAUGGCAAUGGCCGGCAGCACUGACAUCUGCCUCCUGGUGUGACCCCAAGGAUGUGACUUUGGGACAGAACCAACAUGCAGCCAGGCACCCCUGAAAUGAAGCAGGGUUAUGGGAUCCAGCUCUGGCAUUAGUGUGCAGUCCUGAACAUCUGCACCAACAUUUGUGUGCCCAGCCAUCAUUGCAGCACCUGUACCCAUCUGAGCUGGCGCUGGCUGCAGCAUGAAGCCAGGUGAAGGGGUGGGUUCUUUGGGACUGGCAAAAUAUCCCAUGUGCCUUUCAGUGUUUUCCUCUUUUUUUUUUUUUUUAAUUAUGCUUGGAGCCUCUUCUGAACAGUAAAACCUAAAAAAUAUUUGGGAAAAUAUUAAUGUGUCACUUUUGGAUCUGACAGUGUUUGUUUGUUUGCUUGUUUUUGAGGGUAGCAAUUUACAAAGUCCUGCUUUUGGGUCCUUCCUUCCCCACAUCUCUGCUGGGAACUGCCGGUGCCCCCAUCCCACCACGGGAGCCCUGGGCUGGGAACACAGCAGUGCCUGCUGCUGGGGAGGUAACACUGCGAACCAGCCUGCGCAUCUUGCAGCCUCUACAAUAUUGCCAAACCUUGUAACACAGAACCAGAUCCCUUUCCAAACCAGCCCCUUGCAGCCCUUCCUUCCUCUCCAAACUGCACCAAUCUCCAGCCAGAGCGAGCCUUGGGUCUGCCCUGCUUCACCCACCUCGUCGCUUCUGUCCCUGCCUCGCAUCUCCCCGCAGCGGUGUUCCGACGCCUCGCCUCUCUCCCGCUGGCUGAGAGCAGCGUGGAUUUCCUUCCAGCGUGACGGUUGGGGUCACUCUUUCACAACGAGCGCUUUCCUCCCGGUACGAUCAGCUCAGCGUCGCGUCCCGCUGACGCCCAACCAGGAUUUCAAGCUUUUGGGACUGCCUUCCCUGGAAAAAAUUAGCGACAUGUUUGAUUUUAAAUAGCGGAAGCGUGCGGGAAUAAGCUUUUCUGUGUGGGUUCGGAAGUUUGCUAAAACACUCAAUGAGCUGCCUGGAUUUCUCUGAGUCUGGAUCCGGUGAGGGAGCUGGGAUCUGUUCACUGUGCAGCACUGCGCAGCUCACAGUGACUGGAUCCAUCCCCUUGCCUCCCACUGUGGCCCUUGUGCCCUCCUGGGUAUCCCGAAGCUGGGGGAGAGCUGCCUGCUGCCUCCCUAGCGCUCUCCCCAUCC